CCGUGCCCAAGAGAUCGGGAUAACACCUGGAAACAGAUGCUAAUACCGGAUAACAACAGAUGAUGCCUAUCAACUGUUUAAAAGAUGGUUCUGCUAUCACUCUUGGAUGGACCUGCGGUGCAUUAGCUAGUUGGUAGGGUAACGGCCUACCAAGGCGAUGAUGCAUAGCCGAGUUUAGAGACUGAUCGGCCACAUUGGGACUGAGACACGGCCCAAACUCCUACGGGAGGCAGCAGAU
Molecule: ribosomal RNA, 238 nt
Filed under: uncultured Lactobacillus sp.
Lineage: Bacteria; Bacillati; Bacillota; Bacilli; Lactobacillales; Lactobacillaceae
Description: partial 16S ribosomal RNA
Rfam family: Bacterial small subunit ribosomal RNA
Source: RNAcentral